This 484-nucleotide ribosomal RNA is filed under the name uncultured bacterium. RNAcentral describes it as "partial 16S ribosomal RNA". It matches the Rfam family "Bacterial small subunit ribosomal RNA", at positions 30 to 507 of the family's 1533-position model. The record is from RNAcentral.
AUUGAACGCUGGCGGCAGGCCUAACACAUGCAAGUCGAGCGGAUGAAGGGAGCUUGCUCCUGGAUUCAGCGGCGGACGGGUGAGUAAUGCCUAGGAAUCUGCCUGGUAGUGGGGGAUAACGUCCUGAUACGGGCGCUAAUACCGCAUACGUCCUGAGGGAGAAAGUGGGGGAUCUUCGGACCUCACGCUAUCAGAUGAGCCUAGGUCGGAUUAGCUAGUUGGUGGGGUAAAGGCCUACAAAGGCGACGAUCCGUAACUGGUCUGAGAGGAUGAUCAGUCACACUGGAACUGAGACACGGUCCAGACUCCUACGGGAGGCAGCAGUGGGGAAUAUUGGACAAUGGGCGAAAGCCUGAUCCAGCCAUGCCGCGUGUGUGAAGAAGGUCUUCGGAUUGUAAAGCACUUUAAGUUGGGAGGAAGGGCAGUAAGUUAAUACCUUGCUGUUUUGACGUUACCAACAGAAUAAGCACCGGCUAACUUCGUG